UAAAACAAAAACCUUCUUAUAUUUCUGUGUUU
Molecule: non-coding RNA, 32 nt
Filed under: Mus musculus (house mouse)
Lineage: Eukaryota; Metazoa; Chordata; Mammalia; Rodentia; Muridae
Source: RNAcentral